GCGGUACUAGCUCAGUUGGUAGAGCACAACCUUGCCAAGGUUGGGGUCACGAGUUCGAGUCUCGUGUACCGCUCCA
RNAcentral lists this transfer RNA (76 nucleotides) under Psychromonas arctica. RNAcentral's name for it is "tRNA-Gly". It matches the Rfam family "tRNA". From Rfam's summary of the family: Transfer RNA (tRNA) molecules are approximately 80 nucleotides in length. Their secondary structure includes four short double-helical elements and three loops (D, anti-codon, and T loops). Lineage: Bacteria; Pseudomonadati; Pseudomonadota; Gammaproteobacteria; Alteromonadales; Psychromonadaceae. RNAcentral also lists the same sequence under 9 other names. The record is from RNAcentral.